This is a long non-coding RNA of Micropterus salmoides (largemouth bass), 563 nucleotides long. RefSeq lists it as uncharacterized. The record is from RefSeq and is a predicted model, not a curated record. The transcript has 6 exons. NCBI's taxonomy places the organism in Eukaryota, Metazoa, Chordata, Actinopteri, Centrarchiformes, Centrarchidae.
GGAAUUAUUACUGUGAAGCCCAGAACAGAAGAGGACGUCAUAACUCCACCUUACAUCUGAUUGUUGUUGCAGGUUCAUUGAAAUUUCCAGUUGCUCUAUCAGUCAGUGCUGUUGUUCUGGUCUUCAUUCUUCUUCUCUCUGUCGUCCUGUGGAUUAGAAGAGAGAGGUCUUUGCAACAACAACCUGAGGCUGGUGAGAGACCACACAACAGAGCAGAGGAGACAGAUGAACUUCAGUAUGCAAGCGUACAGUGCGUUAGGAACCAGCCAGAGGCUCUCUACUCCAACUUCAGCCCAGCUCAGCCCCUCAGAAACGAGGAGGAGGUUGUUUACGCGACCCCCAUCUUCAACAGUGCCGCAGGAACAAGGCGUCAAGCAGCUGUGGAGGAUGUAUCUGCCCUGUACAGCAGAGUUAAUAGAAGCCACUGAGUGUGAUGACAACAUGGAUCUGUGGACAGCGUUUCCUUCCUGAGCUGCCGUGACAGAGGGGACAGGGACAGAAGAGGGAAUAUCCUAAUGAAGAAGACUGUAAUAGACUUCUAACUUUGUUUGUCUAAACCAGAC